This 550-nucleotide ribosomal RNA is filed under the name uncultured bacterium. Its description in RNAcentral is "bacterial SSU rRNA". It matches the Rfam family "Bacterial small subunit ribosomal RNA", at positions 355 to 896 of the family's 1533-position model. The record is from RNAcentral.
UGGGGAAUCUUCCGCAAUGGGCGCAAGCCUGACGGAGCAACGCCGCGUGAGUGAAGAAGGGUUUCGACUCGUAAAGCUCUGUUGUCGGGGACGAACGUGGAGAUGGUGAAUAACCAUUUCCAAUGACGGUACCUGACGAGGAAGCCACGGCUAACUACGUGCCAGCAGCCGCGGUAAUACGUAGGUGGCGAGCGUUGUCCGGAAUUAUUGGGCGUAAAGGGAGCGCAGGCGGGAGAUCAAGUCUAUCUUAAAAGUGCGGGGCUCAACCCCGUGAGGGGAUGGAAACUGGUCUUCUUGAGUGCAGGAGAGGAAAGCGGAAUUCCUAGUGUAGCGGUGAAAUGCGUAGAUAUUAGGAGGAACACCAGUGGCGAAAGCGGCUUUCUGGACGACAACUGACGCUGAGGCGCGAAAGCCAGGGGAGCAAACGGGAUUAGAUACCCCGGUAGUCCUGGCCGUAAACGAUGGAUACUAGGUGUAGGAGGUAUCGACCCCUUCUGUGCCGGAGUUAACGCAAUAAGUAUCCCGCCUGGGGAGUACGGCCGCAAGGCUG